CUACGGGCCGCAGCAGUGGGGAAUAUUGCACAAUGGGCGCAAGCCUGAUGCAGCCAUGCCGCGUGUAUGAAGAAGGCCUUCGGGUUGUAAAGUACUUUCAGCGGGGAGGAAGGGAGUAAAGUUAAUACCUUUGCUCAUUGACGUUAUCCGCAGAAGAAGCACCGGCUAACUCCGUGCCAGCAGCCGCGGUAAUACGGAGGGUGCAAGCGUUAAUCGGAAUUACUGGGCGUAAAGCGCACGCAGGCGGUUUGUUAAGUCAGAUGUGAAAUCCCCGGGCUCAACCUGGGAACUGCAUCUGAUACUGGCAAGCUUGAGUCUCGUAGAGGGGGGUAGAAUUCCAGGUGUAGCGGUGAAAUGCGUAGAGAUCUGGAGGAAUACCGGUGGCGAAGGCGGCCCCCUGGACGAAGACUGACGCUCAGGUGCGAAAGUGUGGGGAGCAAACAGGAUUAGAUACCCUUGUAGUC
RNAcentral lists this ribosomal RNA (464 nucleotides) under uncultured bacterium. Its description in RNAcentral is "partial 16S ribosomal RNA". It matches the Rfam family "Bacterial small subunit ribosomal RNA", at positions 339 to 795 of the family's 1533-position model. The record is from RNAcentral.